AUUGAACGCUGGCGGCAUGCCUUACACAUGCAAGUCGAACGGCAGCACGGGAGCAAUCCUGGUGGCGAGUGGCGAACGGGUGAGUAAAGUAACGGAACGUGCCCAGUCGUGGGGGAUAACGUAGCGAAAGUUACGCUAAUACCGCAUACGAUCUAUGGAUGAAAGCGGGGGAUCGCAAGACCUCGCGCGAUUGGAGCGGCCGAUAUCAGAUUAGGUAGUUGGUGGGGUAAAGGCUCACCAAGCCGACGAUCUGUAGCUGGUCUGAGAGGACGACCAGCCACACUGGGACUGAGACACGGCCCAGACUCCUACGGGAGGCAGCAGUGGGGAAUUUUGGACAAUGGGCGCAAGCCUGAUCCAGCCAUGCCGCGUGCAGGAUGAAGGCCUUCGGGUUGUAAACUGCUUUUGUACGGAACGAAAAGGUUUGGCCUAAUACGCUGAACUCAUGACGGUACCGUAAGAAUAAGCACCGGCUAACUACGUGCCAGCAGCCGCGGUAA
RNAcentral lists this ribosomal RNA (500 nucleotides) under uncultured bacterium. RNAcentral's name for it is "partial 16S ribosomal RNA". It matches the Rfam family "Bacterial small subunit ribosomal RNA", at positions 30 to 523 of the family's 1533-position model. The record is from RNAcentral.